CACGAGCGUAGCAAGACGCAAGUCACUCGCUUCUGUCGGUCUCGGUGGAGGGUCUGCCUAAUCCAUUUCUGAAGAUUGGCCUCGGAUCAGGUGGGGAUACCCGCUGAACUUAAGCAUAUCAAUAAGCGGAGGAAAAGAAACCAACAGGGAUUGCCUCAGUAACGGCGAGUGAAGCGGCAACAGCUCAAAUUUGAAAUCUGGGGCCUUCGGCUCCCGAGUUGUAAUUUGUAGAGGAUGCCUCGGGGGGUGCUUCGGCCCAAGUUCCUUGGAACAGGAUACCACAGAGGGUGAGAGUCCCGUAUCCGGCCGGCAGUGCCCUCCGCGCGAGGCUCCUUCGACGAGUCGAGUUGUUUGGGAAUGCAGCUCUAAGCGGGUGGUAAAUUCCAUCUAAAGCUAAAUACUGGCCAGAGACCGAUAGCGAACAAGUAGAGUGAUCGAAAGAUGAAAAGCACUUUGAAAAGAGAGUCAAACAGUACGUGAAAUUGUUGAAAGGGAAGCGUAUGGGGGCAGACUUGGCCGCGGGGUUCAGGGUGUCUUUUGGCGCCUGUACUUCCCCGUGGGCAGGCCAGCAUCGGUUUUGGGGGUUGGAUAAAGGCGUCGGGAAUGUGGCUCCCCUCGGGGAGUGUUAUAGCCCGUCGCGCAAUGCAGCCACCCGGGAUCGAGGACCGCGCUUCGGCAAGGAUGCUGGCGUAAUGGCCUCAUACGGCCCGUCUUGAAACACGGACCAAGGAGUCUAACAUCUAUGCGAGUGUUUGGGUGUCAAGCCCGAGCGCGCAAUGAAAGUGAACGGAGGUGGGAGCCCGUAAAAAGGCGCACCAUCGACCGAUCCUGACGUCUUCUGAGGGAUUUGAGUAAGAGCAUAGCUGUUGGGACCCGAAAGAUGGUGAACUAUGCGUGAAUAGGGUGAAGCCAGAGGAAACUCUGGUGGAGGCUCGCAGCGGUUCUGACGUGCAAAUCGAUCGUCAAAUUUGCGUAUAGGGGCGAAAGACUAAUCGAACCAUCUAGUAGCUGGUUCCUGCCGAAGUUUCCCUCAGGAUAGCAGUAACGUUUUCAGUUUUAUGAGGUAAAGCGAACGAUUAGGGAGCUAGGGGCUGAAACAGCCUUUAUCCAUUCUCGAACUUUAAAUAUGUAAGAAGUCCUUGUUACUUUGUUGAACGUGGACAAUCGAAUGCAGCGUUACUAGUGGGCCAUUUUUGGUAAGCAGAACUGGCGAUGCGGGAUGAACCGAACGCGGGGUUAAGGUGCCGGAAUGCACGCUCAUCAGACACCACAAAAGGUGUUGGUUCAUCCAGACAGCAGGACGGUGGCCAUGGAAGUCGGAAUCCGCUAAGGAGUGUGUAACAACUCACCUGCCGAAUGAACCAGCCCUGAAAAUGGAUGGCGCUCAAGCGUGCUACCCAUACCCCGCCGUCUGUGUUCGAUUUAGACGCAGACGAGUAGGCAGGCGUGGAGGU
This 1454-nucleotide ribosomal RNA is filed under the name Scolecobasidium cordanae. RNAcentral's name for it is "Ochroconis cordanae partial 28S ribosormal RNA". It matches the Rfam family "Eukaryotic large subunit ribosomal RNA", at positions 1 to 1398 of the family's 3401-position model. The record is from RNAcentral. Lineage: Eukaryota; Fungi; Ascomycota; Dothideomycetes; Venturiales; Sympoventuriaceae.